Molecule: non-coding RNA, 1761 nt
Organism: Sus scrofa (pig)
Lineage: Eukaryota; Metazoa; Chordata; Mammalia; Artiodactyla; Suidae
Source: RefSeq, a predicted model, not a curated record
GCCACAGCUGUGGCCCUAAAAAGAAAAAACAAACAAAUAAACAAAUCCCACCCAAAACAAAGAGAAGCCAUCUUGCCUACCAUCCUGCCUCCACUUAGGACCACAGAGAAGCACUUUUUUUUUUUUUGUCUUUUAUUUGUUCAUCCUGCUCUACCCUAGGCAGCUGGGUUCACAGAUGUAGGUACAAAUAUGGGUAAAAAUAGCCUGGAGUAACCAGAGUGGUGCCCUGGGGCCAGGAGGAGGAGCCUGGGUUCAGGACUGGCUCACACCAGGCAGGGUGCUGCUGAGUCUACAAGAGCCUGUGCCCUCUUCCCUUCCGAGAAUGUCAUUCUAAUGCUGCAGUGCCCGCAGCCAACCGGCAGGCGGGCAGGGGCGAGAGAGCAGCGAUGCUCUCUUUAAGAGAGAAAAUGCAUCUUAAAAGCAGUGGGAGCUAAUUUGCUCUUCUGUAAUCAGUCACCCUGGACAGAAAACAAAAACACACCCCAGCAAGCCCAGAAUGGCUGAGAGGAGAUGAAGCCUGGCAGGCAGGGAUGGAGACCUUGCAGAGAGGGUGUUUUUCUCUUUAUGGCUUUAAAAUAAAAUGAAUCUUUCGGACAUAUGGCACACAUGUGCAUGUGUAUAUGUGUGUGUGUCUGUGUUUCAGGAGUCAUGGCUAAAGUGGUGCCUAUCUUUUCCAGACUUCUAAGCAGUCUCCAGCUCACCCUGCUGACCAGCCUCUUUUGGAUGCAUCUGUGGGCAGUGAGGAAAUGAUGAGUUCAGAUACGCCUUCUCUGUGCUCCUCCUCUGGAUUAUUGGAAGGACUGACUACCAUCGCUCACGUGAAGUUUGCCGCUUAGCGUCUGGUACACACAAUGGGUCCUUUGCCAAGAAGUAAGGCGUGCAGAAAUGACCUCACUCGAGAAGGCCAACAACCCCACCGUCCGUAUGCUGUAGUACAUGUGAUUCAAGGCUCCUUCUGUGAGGAUAAAGACUGGAUGAAACAGGGAAGGAAUGGGGUUCCUUCCUCAGGUGGGGUUAUAAUGCCUUCAUUCAUCAAUAAGGACACCCGUGCAAAAUUAUGUUUUAAUGGUCCUUUCUGUUUGGUUCCCUGAAGGAUUUAACAUCCUACAGAGUACACCAUAACACAGUUAGGAGUGGAUAAAGGAAACACGCUUUUUUAUAUAGUGGGAGAAGGGCAAUUAAAAAGGCCGAGAAUGGCAGAGUUUGGUCCUAGGCCCAGAGAGGUCUUUUAUUUUCAUUAGGUCACACAGCACAACUGUGUGCCCCGGUUUCAAGACUCUACUUUUCUAAGACAUCAUGCAUACCUCUCAUAACCCAGGCUACACGUCCUACUUUCCUUCUAGGAGACUAGUCAUGAUCUGAUUCUCUGUUGAGAUGUCCAGCCCCUCAGUCUGCUAGGAUGAUAAGGCUCCAAGUCUUGGCAAGUCCACCCUAAUUCCCUGGAUGCCCAGUGCUGUGUCAGCAAAGCCCUGCUUGCCCUGGGAAUUAGCAGUGUUUCUCUCAGAGGCUGUGCAGCCAGGGAGACUUGUCCUAACCUCAUAAAAGCCCAGGAAUCUGCCUAAUUGAUGGUUGGUUCUGGCAUCGGUCGCUGGCUGGCAGUAAACAGGGAUCAUCACUGAUGCGCCCAGACACCUUUGUGCCUCUUGUGGUUCUGCUUGUCCAGCGAGAGGCAGUGGGGUUGUCCACAUGGGAACGCUCACUUUGGGAUAUCGGUCCAGUCCUGCCUUCGCUGUGCUGGGUGACGUGGAGCUAGGAAAAGAC